UACGAAGGACCCAAGCGUUAUCCGGAUUUAUUGGGUUUAAAGGGUGCGUAGGCAGGUUAUUAAGUCAGUGGUGAAAGCCUACAGCUUAACUGUAGAAUUGCCAUUGAUACUGAUGAUCUUGAGUAUGAUUGAGGUGGGCGGAAUGUGUCAUGUAGCGGUGAAAUGCUUAGAUAUGACACAGAACACCGAUUGCGAAGGCAGCUCACUAAGCCAUAACUGACGCUGAUGCACGAAAGCGUGGGGAGCAAACAGG
Molecule: ribosomal RNA, 253 nt
Filed under: uncultured bacterium
Lineage: Bacteria
Description: partial 16S ribosomal RNA
Rfam family: Bacterial small subunit ribosomal RNA
Source: RNAcentral